GCCCCGGUGGUCUAGUGGUUAUGACAACGGAUUGUCGAUCCGUUAAUUCGGGUUCGAUUCCCGGUCGGGGCG
RNAcentral lists this transfer RNA (72 nucleotides) under Treponema sp. RNAcentral describes it as "tRNA-Asp". It matches the Rfam family "tRNA". From Rfam's summary of the family: Transfer RNA (tRNA) molecules are approximately 80 nucleotides in length. Their secondary structure includes four short double-helical elements and three loops (D, anti-codon, and T loops). Further hydrogen bonds mediate the characteristic L-shaped molecular structure. tRNAs have two regions of fundamental functional importance: the anti-codon, which is responsible for specific mRNA codon recognition, and the 3' end, to which the tRNAs corresponding amino acid is attached (by aminoacyl-tRNA synthetases). tRNAs cope with the degeneracy of the genetic code in two manners: having more than one tRNA (with a specific anti-codon) for a particular amino acid; and 'wobble' base-pairing, i.e. permitting non-standard base-pairing at the 3rd anti-codon position. Lineage: Bacteria; Pseudomonadati; Spirochaetota; Spirochaetia; Treponematales; Treponemataceae. The record is from RNAcentral.